GGGUGAGUAACGCGUGGGUAACCUGCCUCACACAGGGGGAUAACAGUUGGAAACGACCGCUAAUACCGCAUAAGCCGGAAGGAUCGCAUGAUUCGGCCGGAAAAGAUUUAUCGGUGUGAGAUGGACCCGCGUCUGAUUAGCCAGUUGGCAGGGUAACGGCCUACCAAAGCGACGAUCAGUAGCCGGCCUGAGAGGGUGAACGGCCACAUUGGGACUGAGACACGGCCCAAACUCCUACGGGAGGCAGCAGUGGGGAAUAUUGCACAAUGGGGGAAACCCUGAUGCAGCGACGCCGCGUGAGUGAAGAAGUAUUUCGGUAUGUAAAGCUCUAUCAGCAGGGAAGAAAAUGACGGUACCUGACUAAGAAGCCCCGGCUAACUACGUGCCAGCAGCCGCGGUAAUACGUAGGGGGCAAGCGUUAUCCGGAUUUACUGGGUGUAAAGGGAGCGUAGACGGCCAGACAAGUCAGAAGUGAAAGCCCAGGGCUCAACUCUGGGACUGCUUUUGAAACUGCCGGGCUGGAGUGCAGGAGAGGUAAGCGGAAUUCCUAGUGUAGCGGUGAAAUGCGUAGAUAUCAGGAGGAACACCAGUGGCGAAGGCGGCUUACUGGACUGUAACUGACGUUGAGGCUCGAAAGCGUGGGGAGCAAACAGGAUUAGAUACCCUGGUAGUCCACGCCGUAA
RNAcentral lists this ribosomal RNA (683 nucleotides) under uncultured bacterium. RNAcentral's name for it is "bacterial SSU rRNA". It matches the Rfam family "Bacterial small subunit ribosomal RNA", at positions 104 to 805 of the family's 1533-position model. The record is from RNAcentral.